AAGUCGUAACAAGGUAUCCGUAGGUGAACCUGCGGAUGGAUCAUUACCAAAGAACCAUCUUCUACGUACUGUGAACCGUUCUGAACGAUGUUGGGCUGUAAGGCCCGGUGUCAUUAAACACGUAACAAUCAUAGACUAAAGUCAAGAGUUGCUUGAAUCAUAAACAACUUUUAGCAAUGGAUCUCUUGGCUCUC
RNAcentral lists this unclassified non-coding RNA (194 nucleotides) under fungal sp. Its description in RNAcentral is "partial internal transcribed spacer region". The stretch from base 1 to 46 matches the Rfam family "Eukaryotic small subunit ribosomal RNA", at positions 1786 to 1831 of the family's 1831-position model. The record is from RNAcentral. Lineage: Eukaryota; Fungi.